Molecule: RNA transcript, 3825 nt
Organism: Loxodonta africana (African savanna elephant)
Lineage: Eukaryota; Metazoa; Chordata; Mammalia; Proboscidea; Elephantidae
Gene name: mitotic spindle assembly checkpoint protein MAD2A-like
Exons: 7
Source: RefSeq, a predicted model, not a curated record
CCCACAUAAUUUGAAAUAUUUACUGAUGACUAAAUGAUUUUCUGUUUCUUGACGGAAAACUUUGCUGUCUCCUGUAUAUGCUAUAUCAGUUUUCAAGGUUACCUCAGAGCUCAAUCUGAGGCCCUCCUCUCACUUUAUAAUCUCUCUAGAUGAUCUCUGACAUGUUCUGAUAAACUUUGUGUAGUUGACUCUUUAUAUCUAACCCAAAUCUCUCCUAACUCCAAACCUAUAUACCCAAUGGCUUUCCUACGUAACUACCCCAGAGAUACUUCCGACUCAUCAUAUUGAAAACUAAAUUUAAGAUUCUGUGCAAAAGUGCUCCACUUUCAAUUCACUUUCCUAGCACUGAAUGGCUCAACCAUCCAACCUGCGAUACAAGCCAGAAAUUUGGGAGGUAUUCCUGACUUGUUUCUCUUCCUUACCCCCAUAGCUAAUCCAGUAAGUUUUGAAAAAUUUCACCAUGAAAUCCCUUGAAUCUGUCUACUUCUCCAUUUCUACCAAUAUAUCCUCCUACAUGCUUUAAUGAUCUCAUCUUGCUUAAACUACUAAAUGAACUAAUUAGUGUCUAACAACGAAAAAUCCAAACCCGUUGCCGUUGCAUCGAUUCCAACUCAUACUGACCCUAUAGGACAGACUAGAACUGCCCCAUAGGUUUCCAAGGAACAGCUGCUGAAUUUGAACUGCCAACCCUUUGUUAAACAACCUUUUGGUAAGGGAGUAAGGGAUCUACACUAAUGUCUAGAUCCCCUGUAACCCAUUUUCAAAGUGAUAGUUUUGAAAUGUAAAUCUGAUUAUAUCACGUCCUAUUUCAAACACAGUGAUGACUUCCCUGGUUCUUGAGAUACAAUUUCAUUUGGCCCACCUGGCCUUGUAUGGUCUGGCUCCUGUUUAUCUUUCCUGCAGUUGUACUGGCUUUCUUUCAGUCCUAUAGUCACCUGCUGUCACCCUCAAGUACUUAAGGCCUGUACCUUCUUCCCUUUCCUUGUGCAUAUUUAAUACUGUUUCACCCUCAGAGCUAAGCUGAAGCCUUCCCUGUCCUCCCUGAUUGGGGCAGUUUUUCCUAUUUAAAUGCUCUUCAUUGUACCAUUUCUCCUUCACAGCAGUCACUGCAGUUGUAAUUUCACAUUUGUUGGUGUGGUGAUUAAAUCAGUUCCCAUCUCCUACGCUCCUACCUUGGUUGUGGCUGAAAAUCUCUCUUGCUCACUGUAUCCUCAGCAGCGAGUACUGUACUUUGUAGAAAUCCUGAGAAUUUGAAAAGAGGAGCUGGAUUAUUGAUGUGAUAAGUUUUCUGAGCAGGAGGGAGGGGGUACAAAAUACCAGUGGUAGGAAUUGGCCGAGGUGAGGACGAGAGACCUGAGAAGGUAAGAGUUGCUUUGCAAUGCAGUGGACCAAAAAAGAUGCCUUGUUAUGUGUUACAGAAUGGUUAUACAAAUGUUCUGCUCAGAAACUGGUGGUAGUCAUCUCAAAUAUUGAAAGCAGUGAGGUCCUUGAAAGCUGGCAGUUUGAUAUUGAGGGUGAGAAGACUGCAAAAGAUGACAGUGCAGCCAGAGCAAAGUCUCAGAAAACUAUCCAAGAUGAGAUCCGUUCAGUGAUCAACAGGUCACGGCUACAGUAACAUUUCUGCCGCUGUUGGAUGUUUCCUGUUCAUUUGAUCUGCUGAUUUACACAGAUAAAGAUUUGGUUGUAACAUGAGAAAUGGGAAGAAUCAGGACCACAGUUCAUUAUCAGUUCUGAGGAAGUCUGUCUUCGUUCAUUCACUACUACAAUCCACAAAGUGAAUAGCAUGAUGGCCUACAAAACUCCUGUCAAUGACUGAGGGAUGAGCUGAGAAAAGUAGAGGAAUGAAAACAUGUUCCGGUUGAGCCCAUCAAAGUCUGAAAUAGAGCCCAGAAGGGACUGAGCUACACCUGGCCUCCAGGAUCCUUCUCCUAGUGUCUUCAGUCUGAGAAGACAAGCCUUCGUGGGAAUGUCCAAGCAAAGAAUGGUUAUACAAAUGUUCUGCUCAGAAACUGGUGGUAGUCAUCUCAAAUAUUGAAAGCAGUGAGGUCCUUGAACGCUGGCAGUUUGAUAUUGAGGGUGACAAGACUGCAAAAGAUGACAGUGCAGCCAGAGGAAAGUCUCAGAAAACUGUCCAAGAUGAGAUCCGUUCAGUGAUCAGACAGAUCACGGCUACAGUAACAUUUCUGCCGCUGUUGGAAGUUUCCUGUUCAUUUGAUCUGCUGAUUUACACAGAUAAAGAUUUGGUUGUACAUGAGAAAUGGGAAGAAUCAGGACCACAGUUCAUUAUCAGUUCUGAGGAAGUCUGUCUUCGUUCAUUCACUACUACAAUCCACAAAGUGAAUAGCAUGAUGGCCUACAAAACUCCUGUCAAUGACUGAGGGAUGAGCUGAGAAAAGUAAUGUACUUGCAAUUCUCAAAUGUGUUUUCCUGAAAGGAAGUCAACUACAAGUUGAUAUGUUUUGUUUUGCUGGUGAAUUUUUAGGUGGGGAAACAACAUUAUACCCUACUGAAGUGUGCAUCAUCCAUUUUUUGUACCUGUUUAAUGUUCCAAGGAGUUGACAUCAUGAAUUUGAGGAGAUGAUGGCUUUAUCCCCCAUUAAUGUAUUUGGCUAAAUAAAAAUAGAUGAGCACAAAAGCAUAUUGCACGUUGUCCAAAAGGGAAUCAGUGUUCUAAUGUCAGUUCUUUUGAAGGUGGCAACAGUAGUUGGAAAAACUUUAACUAUAAAGCUAAAUAAGUUCCUAAAUCAGACAUUUUGGUCAAGUAGCUUGAGUCAGAAUAUAGGUAGGGUGAUAUUUAAUUGUAAAUUACAGCAAAAGAAACCUGAAUAUUCAGAAUCUUUGUUUAGAUCCUGAAAAUAACUAAUAUAAUCCAUAAGUCAAGAAAUAUUGAGGUCUGUCCAGCAUUUUUUCAGAUCUAGAGUUCCCGUGUUGAAAAAAUUUCCAAUUAUUUGACUUUAUAUAACUUUACCUAGGAAGUUUUGAAUGUUUCUACUGUUUAAUUUCCUGUGAUAGAGAACUCUUUGAAAAUGUCCUUUUAUGUUUGAUAAAAUCAAGCUUUUAAUGACAAUGGUGAAAUAAAGUUAAAUUUGUGUGUUUUAAAUUUGCCUUAAAAUGUUUUGAUACUGGUGUUAAAUGGUAGCUAGAAUGGGUUUAGUAUUGGAAAUGAUUUUUUUGUGUCACCUAGGCUAUAGGUCCAAAGCAUACAAAGACGAGGAAAUCUUGAGGUACCUUGAAUCUAUUGUGUUUGGUUAUACCACUUUAAUCUCAUAAUAAUCGACUUAAAAUAAACAUUGAUUGUAUAACAAGAGAUAUGCCUUUUGGAAUUAGUUCAGUUUAGCAAAUGUUGGAUUGUAGUACCUUUAGGAGUUCCUGGGUGGUGCAAAAAAUUAAGCACUGGACUAGUAACGAAAAGUUUGGUGGUUCAAACUCACCUACAGGCAACUGAUAACUAAGGCCUGGCAAUCUGCUUUGAAAAUUUCAGAGCCUUGAAAAAUAUGGAACGGUUCUACUGUGUGCACGAUGGGUUGCCAUGAGGUAAAAUCAACUCGAGGGCAACUAACAAUAACAACAAAGUGCCUUUCUACACUCUUAGCCUUACCUUCUGGACUUAUGUGAAAGAUUUCUCACUAUAUCCUUAAUACGGCCUUUUUUUUACUCUCAGCUUCGUUAUCUUUAUAUACUUAUACAGCUUGCUUAUCCCUGUGCCUGCAUUAAUACUAUCAUGUGUUCUAUCUAGUUCUCACCUAUUUUUCCAAGGUCAAUUUAUUGCAAACUUCAAAGAAAUCUUUUAUAAUCUCUUCUUAAUCUCAUCUCUUUUAUAGUAAG